AAAAAAAUUAACGUUAACUAACCUUAUCACCGAAAUGGCAAUAAAUAUCAAACCAUUUGCCAUCCCCAAUUAUUGCAUUCACUCUCCUCCUCCACAUCUUCUCACUCAGGAUAUAUUUGACUGAUCGUCUUAACGGCCACGAUGUCUUGGGAUGACGGAAAGCACACGAAGGUGAAGAGAGUUCAGCUUACGUUCGAUGACGUCAUCAGAUCCAUCCAGGUCGAGUACGUCGGAACCACCCUCCAGUCUCAGCGACGUGGCAACGGCGGCACCAAAUCUGACGGAUUCACACUGAGCUCGGACGAGUACAUAACGGGAUUGUCUGGUUACUAUAGAACGACUUUUUCGGGAGACAUUAUAACGGCGUUAACGUUUAAGACGAACAAGAAGGCAUAUGGCCCUUACGGAAACAAAACUCAACACUACUUUUCCGCUGAAGCACCCAGUGGUAAUCAAAUCGCCGGAUUUCUAGGAACCUCCGGCAAUGCUCUCAACUCCCUAGACGUUCACUUUGCUCCCAUUCCUCCCGCUGGUAGCAUCGGACCAAAACCUGAUGAACCCGAAACCAAACCUCCCGGCCAAGAAGAUUCAAAAGGUGAUGGCUCCGGAAUCAAACCUCCCGGCCAAGAAGAUUCAAAAGGUGAUGGUUUCGAAACCAAACCUCCAGGCCAAGAGGAUUCAAAAGGUGAUGGCUCCGGAACCAAACCUCCUGGCAAAGAAGAUUCAAAAGGUGAUGGCUCCGGAACCAAACCUCCUGGCAAAGAGGAUUCAAAAGGUGAUGGCUCCGGACCAAACCUCCCGGCAAAGAAGAUUCAAAAGGUGAUGGCUCUGGAGCCAAACCUCCUGGCCAAGAAGAUUCAAAAGGUGAUGGCCCCGGAAAGACUGGGCUGAUCGGUGGUAACAGUGGAGACGCAUUUGAUGAUGGUCGUUUUGGUGGUGUGAAGAAAAUAACUGUUGGAGCAGAUGAAUACAGUGUGACUUACAUCAAGAUUGAGUACGUAAAGGACGGAAAAGUUCAAACCCUUGAACACGGGACUAUUCGCGGGGAACUACAAGAGUUUUCGGUGGAUUAUCCAAAGGAACAUAUCACAGCUGUUGGUGGAAGCUACGAUCAUAUUUUUACCUACGAUACAACGCUUAUCACAUCGCUAUACUUCACAACCUCCAAUGGAAUUACCUCUCCAUUAUUUGGUAAGCAGAGUGGAAAAGACUUCAAUCUCAAAGGUGAAAAUGGAGGAAAGCUUGUUGGAUUCCAUGGCCGUGGUGGAGCUGCUAUAAAUGCCAUUGGAGCUUACUUUGACACCAGUUCGAAAGGAGGUGACGAUACAAAACCUGUUGACACUGACACCAAACCCGGCAAAGACGAUUCAAAACCUGAUGCCUCGGGAAAGACGGGACUGCUUGGUGGUAAAGGUGGAAACGCAUUUGACGAUGGUCGUUUUGAUGGUGUAAAGAAAAUAACUGUGGGAGCGGAUGAUUUAAGUGUGACCUAUAUCAAGAUAGAAUACAUUAAAGAUGGAAAGGUCGAAAUCCGUGAACAUGGGACGAAUCGCGGGGAACUAAAAGAGUUUUCGGUGGAUUAUCCGAAAGACAAGAUCACAGCCGUUGGUGGAAGCUACGAUCAUAUUUUCACCUACGAUGCGACGCUUGUCACAUCACUAUACUUCACAACCUCCAAUGGAAUCACCUCUCCAUUAUUCGGUAAAACGAGUGGAAAUGACUUCAAUCUCAAAGGUGAAAAUGGAGAAAAGCUUGUUGGGUUCCAUGGACGUGGUGGCACUGCUAUUGAUGCCAUUGGAGCUUACUUCGACACUAGCAGCGAUUCCAGUACUCAAAGAGUGGACGCACAAGGAGGCAAGGGAGGCAUUCAAUGGGACGAUGGAGGCGAUCACGAUGGUGUGACGAAGAUACUUCUUGUAGGUAGUGGUCGAGGUAUUGAUCAAAUCAAGUUCGAUUAUCUCGAAAACAAGCAGCCAAAGGAAGGAACCCUCCAUGGUGUGAAAGGAAGAAGAAGUUUCGAAUCAACGAUUGAGAUAAGUCAUCCCAAUGAGUAUCUAGUUUCAGUCAAGGGUUGGUACGAUGCGUCCAAUGUCAUUCAGGGACUUCAGUUCAAAACCAGCACAAAGACUUCUGAUUACUUUGUGUCCGAAUUUGCUGGAGACGGUACAGAGUUUACACUUGAAGUUAAAGACAAGAAGAUCGUCGGUUUUCAUGGCUUCGCCGACACUGGUCUCAAUUCUCUUGGAGCUUAUUUCGCUCCAAUCUCCUCAACUCCAGUGAAACCUAUCAAGAAGCUAAAAGCCGUUGGUGGUGACGAAGGAACUUCAUGGGAUGAUGGUCCUUUCGACGGCGUUAGAAAAAUAAAUGUAGGACAAAACAAUGAUGGUGUGUCGUUCGUGGAGAUUGAGUAUACAAAGGGCUCUCAGACAGUUCUCGGUGAUGGUCAUGGCAAAAAGUCACCUCUUGGAGUUGAAACGUUCGAGCUUAAUCCAGGUGAAUACAUCAAGGCAGUAGGAGUCUACUAUGAUAAAGUCUAUGUAGGGAACCGUGGUGAGGUAUUGGUGACGAGUUUGGUAUUCAUAACUAACGAGCGAACAUCUCCACCAUUUGGAAUGACCGGUGGAGAAUAUGUUGAACUUAAGGAAGAAGGUCAAAAAAUCGUUGGGUUUUAUGGAAAAGCUAGUGAUUGGGUUCAUCAAAUCGGAGUCUAUGUCACGCCAAUCGCCAAUUGAAAGCCUGUUGUGUUUGUCUCUUGAUUUCCAUAUGAAUAAACAUGAAUAAAGUUAUAUCAGAGCCAUAUUUGUGGAUUUGUCACCUCAAGGUCUCUUGAUGGACUAUGUGUUAUGUUUGUAUUGCAGUGUGAUGUUUCGUGUUGUUGCUUGUUUGUUCUUAAUAAAGGAUGUCUGUUUGAUCAGUG
RNA transcript from Eutrema salsugineum, 2917 nucleotides. It is a transcript of the gene named myrosinase-binding protein 2, with no coding region annotated. The transcript has 7 exons. The record is from RefSeq and is a predicted model, not a curated record. NCBI's taxonomy places the organism in Eukaryota, Viridiplantae, Streptophyta, Magnoliopsida, Brassicales, Brassicaceae.